This 2348-nucleotide long non-coding RNA is filed under the name Capra hircus (goat). Its description in RNAcentral is "lncRNA (ENSCHIG00010025320.1)". The record is from RNAcentral. Lineage: Eukaryota; Metazoa; Chordata; Mammalia; Artiodactyla; Bovidae.
GAUGAUUUUGUGUACUCAGGGCUUCUGGAGAUUUAUGGGAGUGGAGGGGGAGAGUUGGGGGGAUUUUGUAUGGCAUCUCCUCAACCUGCCCCUAUUUAACACCCUGAUUUCUGCUCGUGCUGCUCAGGACCUCAUUCAUUUUCUUGGGCUCCACCUAAUGAAUUCGGGGCCGUCCUACCUUAUCUGCAGUUUAUUUGUCUCUUUUCCACUCUGUUCCCUCUGCCCUCCAAUGAGGAUCAUGUCCUUUCCCAUCUUGAUGUGAGAGUUGGGGGUUGGAGGUGGGAGAAAUAACAGUACAAAACUGGUUCUCUAUCAUAGCGUAUCCUUGCAAAUCUUUCCUUAUAGAAAAGGGAUUUUUACCAGGGAUAAGCUCUUGGAAUGAAAAUCAAGACGAUGAUGGUUUUGUUCAAGGACCCCAAUAUCUAUGUUUCCCUGGCUCUGAGUGAAAUGAGAUGGGGGUGAGGUGAGACAGAGGGUAGGACUAGGCAGGAGACGUGUUGACAUCCUCCCACCACAGAUAUUUAAUCAAACUUCCUCAGUCUAAGUCACUGCCAUCGACAGUGUGGCUUUUGUCCAUUUUCUCCUGCUGUUUCCCUUUCCUUUUCAAGAUGAGUGUGAGGAGGGGAGCAGCUUGCAUUGCUGAAGAAGGAAUGGCUGUGAUUCUGCUCUUCUGUUCUGAUUGUUUCUUUUCAAGUUAUUUUUCAAAUAUUUAUUGAUGCGCCUAUGUAAUUCUUUGUGCCAUUCUUGUUCUAGACAUUGGAGAUAUAGCAAUGAACAAGCAGACACAAACUACUUUUUUGGUUUUUUUAGCCUCUCUCGGAAAAUUAACAUACUCAGUUAAAGAUGGUGUGUGCCUUAAANNNNNNNNNNNNNNNNNNNNNNUUGUUACAGCCAUAGUUUUGCAAAAUUUUCAUGUGUUACAAAAACAGAAGAACAGAGAAUCAUCUUAUGGUGCUGAGACCAAACUGAAGUUCAAUCAUCCUGUGACCCUUCCUCAUCACUCACAAUCCAACAGCUUGAGGACUUGUACCUCCACUAAGCCUUAUGCCACAUCUUUUUAACAAAGAAUGUGUGAAAAGCAGCCAGGAAGACUUUGGCUUCAUGGAUCUGCAUGAAAUGAAUGCCCCAUGAGAGCUUCUUCCUGCUCCUCCACUCCUCUUUCAGAAUCCCUGGCUGCUGGUAUUUGAACGAUGUAGCAAUAGGAGCUCAUGGGAUUUCCAUGCAGCAGUGAGAAGAAGCCCAGUUUCAGAUCAUAAUAGACCAGCUACUGGUGAGAAUGUUAUCAGUCAGCUUUUACAUUGGUGCCUUGGAAAGGGACUGAGGGUUGGGGGUAGGGAGCAAAGGAGAAACUGGGUAGGAGAAGAUACUGUACCUUGUCAGUUUCCUGAAUUACACGGGGAACCAUAGAGAUAUUUAUUCUGAACUAUGUGAAUAGGAGCCAUUGGUAAAAAGGAAUGUUCUUUCAAGAAGUGGCAGGUUGAGAAUAAGACAGUUACUGCUGAUGUGGUCCAAAGAGGUCAUUUGGCAUACUUACAUUUUAAAAUGUGCUUAGAGAUGUGUUCACAAAAUCCUUAAUUUCUGGGAGUAAAUUUUGUGGAAGCACGUUGUUUUCCCAGAACACACAUGUGAGAUUGCACAUGUGAGUAAAACACUGUCUUCUAGUUCUGAAACCAGUGAAUGCAUUCAUCUAUAUCAGGUUUUUCAUCUAGGUCAUGUAUUCAUCAUUUAACAGUUCAAAAUAAUAGUUAAAAUGGUCAAAAGGCAACAUUCCUUCCUUCCUCAGAUGGACAUUUAUCUGAAAUUAACUUGUUUUUCUUCCACCAAUAGAAUUAGACAAUUCACUUGACCAAACGACUUUACUCUUUAUGUUUACUUUACAUUUGUUACUGGAAAAUUGGUUUUCUUGCCCAACACACAUAUGUCUGCAUUGUGUAAUAUGCUGGGACCAAAAAAAAAAAAACCAGGAAAUGAUAGUCAAUAAUCUAGCCUAUAACUGUUGGUUAGGUUGUAGAUGUUCCUGUCUGGGACAGCCAGGAACAUUCUUAGGAAAGGUGGCACUUGCCUUUGGUCUUUAAAUGUUAUUAGGAAGUCACAAUUUGAAAUAGCCUAGUUUGUGAAAUAUGUGAAGGUCAAAAUGCAGAACAUAUUUAGAAAUCUGAAAUAUUUGGUGUGAAUUCAGUAUGUAGGGUUUGAGUAGGGUAGGGAGAAAAGACAGGGAUGAGGCUGGAAGGUGGAGGUCAGGGUUCAGAGAAGGCAUGGACCUGUGUUUUACUCCACAUAGCAUAAUACCAACAGUGCCUGUUUCUUAAUAGGAGUCCAGUAAGUAUUUCUUUCUUUCUUUUUUAACG